RNAcentral lists this ribosomal RNA (536 nucleotides) under uncultured bacterium. RNAcentral's name for it is "bacterial SSU rRNA". It matches the Rfam family "Bacterial small subunit ribosomal RNA", at positions 28 to 500 of the family's 1533-position model. The record is from RNAcentral.
GACGAACGCUGGCGGCGUGGAUUAGGCAUGUAAGUCGAACGGUAUGGACCUUUCGGGGUUCAGAGAGUGGCGAACGGGUGAGUAACACGUAGGUAAUCUACCCUCAAGACGGGGACAACCCAGGGAAACUUGGGCUAAUACCGGAUGUGUGUAGUGGCUAUUUUUCUGAUUAUCAUUAUUUACGUAAGUGAGUAAUAAUAAGAAGGGAAAGUGGUUAUUACAUAAAAGGUGGCGUAAGCUGCCGCUUGGGGAUGAGCCUGCGUCCUAUUAGUUAGUUGGUGAGGUAACGGCUUACCAAGGCGAUGAUAGGUAGGCGGCCUUAACGGGUGGUCGCCCACACUGGGAUUGAGAUACGGCCCAGACUCCUACGGGAGGCAGCAGUCGAGAAUAGUCUACAAUGGACGGAAGUCUGAUAGUGCGACGCCGCGUGAACGAAGAAUCCCUUCGGGGUGUAAAGUUCUUUUAUACGUGAGCAGUGUCCUUUAUAUUAAUAGUAUAAGGGGAGAGAUAUUAGCGUAUGAAUAAGCAACGGCUAA